AGGUUUCUUCACGACCAUAGCUACGGUGCCGCCGUCACGGACCAGCUGUGGCAAUCAUUCCAAACGCAACUAGAUAACGAUAAAGUAGACAUCGAUAUAAAGAUGGUCAUGGACACAUGGACGCUACAGAUGGGCUAUCCACUUAUCAACAUCAGCAGGGACUACGCGACAGGCGAUAUAUACGCGACCCAGACACAUUUCCUUAAUCAGGAGGGGAACGUUAGUGAGGCGAGUCCAUUCAAUUUCACGUGGGAGGUUCCACUAACACUCUUAUAUUCGGCAAAGCCUUCUGAGAUACAUCUGCAAUGGAUGCAUAAAUGCGAUG
Long non-coding RNA from Priapulus caudatus, 325 nucleotides. RefSeq lists it as uncharacterized. The record is from RefSeq and is a predicted model, not a curated record. Lineage: Eukaryota; Metazoa; Priapulida; Priapulimorpha; Priapulimorphida; Priapulidae. The transcript has 3 exons.